RNAcentral lists this ribosomal RNA (324 nucleotides) under Clostridioides difficile. Its description in RNAcentral is "bacterial SSU rRNA". It matches the Rfam family "Bacterial small subunit ribosomal RNA", at positions 210 to 551 of the family's 1533-position model. The record is from RNAcentral. Lineage: Bacteria; Bacillati; Bacillota; Clostridia; Peptostreptococcales; Peptostreptococcaceae.
GUGAGCCAGUACAGGAUGGACCCGCGUCUGAUUAGCUAGUUGGUAAGGUAACGGCUUACCAAGGCGACGAUCAGUAGCCGACCUGAGAGGGUGAUCGGCCACAUUGGAACUGAGACACGGUCCAAACUCCUACGGGAGGCAGCAGUGGGGAAUAUUGCACAAUGGGCGAAAGCCGGAUGCAGCAACGCCGCGUGAGGGAUGAAGGCCUUCGGGUCGUAAAACGCUGUCCUCAAGGAAGAUAAUGACGGUACUUGAGGAGGAAGCCCCGGCUAACUACGUGCCAGCAGCCGCGGUAAUACGGAGGGGGCUAGCGUUAUCCGGAUU